This 101-nucleotide small nuclear RNA is filed under the name Neogale vison (American mink). The record is from RNAcentral. Lineage: Eukaryota; Metazoa; Chordata; Mammalia; Carnivora; Mustelidae.
GUGCUCGCUUCGGCAGCACAUAUACUAAAAUUGGAACGAUACAGAGAAGAUUAGCAUGGCUCCUGCGCAAGGAGGACAUGGAAGACCUGUUCAGAGGUCAU